GAACGCCCCGCAAGGGGAGUGGCAGACGGGUGAGUAACACGUGGGAACGUCCCCCUCGGUUCGGAAUAACUCAGGGAAACUUGAGCUAAUACCGGAUACGUCCGAGAGGAGAAAGAUUUAUCGCCGAGGGAUCGGCCCGCGUCUGAUUAGCUAGUUGGUGGGGUAACGGCCCACCAAGGCUACGAUCAGUAGCUGGUCUGAGAGGAUGAUCAGCCUCACUGGGACUGAGACACGGCCCAGACUCCUACGGGAGGCAGCAGUGGGGAAUAUUGGACAAUGGGCGCAAGCCUGAUCCAGCCAUGCCGCGUGGGUGAUGAAGGCCCUAGGGUUGUAAAGCCCUUUCGGCGGGGAAGAUAAUGACGGUACCCGCAGAAGAAGCCCCGGCUAACUUCGUG
Molecule: ribosomal RNA, 395 nt
Filed under: uncultured bacterium
Lineage: Bacteria
Description: bacterial SSU rRNA
Rfam family: Bacterial small subunit ribosomal RNA
Source: RNAcentral